Patella vulgata (common limpet) is the source of this 542-nucleotide long non-coding RNA. RefSeq lists it as uncharacterized. The transcript has 3 exons. The record is from RefSeq and is a predicted model, not a curated record. NCBI's taxonomy places the organism in Eukaryota, Metazoa, Mollusca, Gastropoda, Patellidae.
AUGACAGAACUCAGACAAUUUGAUAAAACUGGUUGAUCCCAAGAAUUGUCAAAAAAACACUGUAUUUUUGUGUUUGCGUCAAUUCACAAAGUGUCGAGUUGUUUGACGUUCAUGAUGCAAUCAUAGAGUUGUCAUCAUCGCUGAAAUCCAGGGGUUUAGAUACAAUUUCUCUCCUUAGUAGCGGACUAUCAACAUGUUCUGACAACGUGUUUUAACUAUUGCCAAAAAAGUGUGAAAAGGAGUAACGUCUCAAAUCACUUAGUUCUGAGGACACUGUAAUGGAAUUUAGGGUAGAGUAAAGAAAGAACCGAAACGAAAUAGUCAAAUUUUAAUUUGAUUGUAAAUACAUGUAUGUGUAAGUGUUUGAAUCCACGAAUAUCGUAUCGUUAACGUCGAGUAAUUGUUUGGAUCUAUAUUUGUCAUUAAAAACCGAGCGAUCCAUUAACCGUUGACUCCCGUCCGUUGGGUAUAAGACCCACGCUUAAUUCUAGAAUCUAAAGAAAAAUAUCUUUUUUGCGAUAGCAUGGGGAAUUAUAUAAAAA